GUCUUGACUAAUGUGUCUUGGCUAAGGUGUCUUGGCUAAGGUGUCUUGGCUAAGGUGUCUUGGCUUAGGUGUCUUGGCUAAUGUGUCUCGGCUAAGGUGUCUUGGCUAAGGUGUCUUGGCUAAGGUGUCUUGGCUAAUGUGUCUUGGCUAAGGUGUCUUGGCUAAGGUGUCUUGGCUAAGGUGUCUUGGCUAAGGUGUCUCGGCUAAUGUGUCUUGGCUAAGGUGUCUUGGCUAAGGUGUCUUGACUAAUGUGUCUUGGCUAAAGUGUCUUGGCUAAGGUGUCUUGGCUAAUGUGUCUCGGCUAAGGUGUCUUGGCUAAUGUGUCUUGGCUAAGGUGUCUUGGCUAAGGUGUCUUGGCUAAUGUGUCUUAGCUAAUGUGUCUUGGCUAAUGUGUCUCGGCUAAUGUGUCUUGGCUAAUGUGUCUCGGCUAAGGUGUCUUGGCUAAGGUGUCUUGGCUAAAGUGUCUUGGCUAAGGUGUCUUGGCUAAUGUGUCUCGGCUAAAGUGUCUUGGCUAAUGUGUCUUGGCUAAGGUGUCUUGGCUAAGGUGUCUUGGCUAAGGUGUCUUGGCUAAGGUGUCUUGGCUAAGGUGUCUUGGCUAAGGUGUCUUGGCUAAUGUGUCUCGGCUAAUGUGUCUUGGCUAAGGUGUCUUGGCUAAGGUGUCUUGGCUAAUGUGUCUUGGCUAAUGUGUCUUGGCUAAUGUGUCUUGGCUAAGGUGUCUUGGCUAAGGUGUCUUGGCUAAUGUGUCUUGGCUAAAGUGUCUUGGCUAAUGUGUCUUGGCUAAUGUGUCUUGGCUAAUGUGUCUCGGCUAAUGUGUCUUGGCUAAUGUGUCUCGGCUAAGGUGUCUUGGCUAAGGUGUCUUGGCUAAAGUGUCUUGGCUAAGGUGUCUUGGCUAAUGUGUCUCGGCUAAAGUGUCUUGGCUAAUGUGUCUUGGCUAAGGUGUCUUGGCUAAGGUGUCUUGGCUAAGGUGUCUUGGCUAAGGUGUCUUGGCUAAGGUGUCUUGGCUAAGGUGUCUUGGCUAAUGUGUCUCGGCUAAUGUGUCUUGGCUAAGGUGUCUUGGCUAAGGUGUCUUGGCUAAUGUGUCUUGGCUAAUGUGUCUUGGCUAAUGUGUCUUGGCUAAGGUGUCUUGGCUAAGGUGUCUUGGCUAAUGUGUCUUGGCUAAAGUGUCUUGGCUAAGGUGUCUUGGCUAAGGUGUCUCGGCUAAGAUGUCUUGGCUAAGGUGUCUUGGCUAAUGUGUCUUGGCUAAGGUGUCUUGGCUAAUGUGUCUUGGCUAAGGUGUCUUGGCUAAGGUGUCUUGGCUAAGGUGUCUCGGCUAAGGUGUCUUGGCUAAGGUGUCUUGGCUAAGGUGUCUUGGCUAUGGUGUCUUGGCUAAUGUGUCUCGGCUAAUGUGUCUUGGCUAAGGUGUCUUGGCUAAUGUGUCUUGGCUAAUGUGUCUUGGCUAAGGUGUCUUGGCUAAGGUGUCUUGGCUAAUGUGUCUUGGCUAAUGUGUCUUGGCUAAGGUGUCUUGGCUAAGGUGUCUUGGCUAAUGUGUCUUGGCUAAAGUGUCUUGGCUAAUGUGUCUCGGCUAAGGUGUCUUGGCUAAGGUGUCUUGGCUAAGGUGUCUUGGCCAAGGUGUCUUGGCUAAGGUGUCUUGGCUAAGGUGUCUUGGCUAAGGUGUCUUGGCUAAUGUGUCUCGGCUAAUGUGUCUUGGCUAAGGUGGCUUGGCUAAGGUGUCUUGGCUAAUGUGUCUCGGCUAAUGUGUCUUGGCUAAGGUGUCUUGGCUUAGGUGUCUUGGCUAAUGUGUCUUGGCUAAGGUGUCUUGGCUAAUGUGUCUCGGCUAAUGUGUCUUGGCUAAGGUGUCUUGGCUAAUGUGUCUCGGCUAAUGUGUCUUGGCUAAGGUGUCUUGGCUAAGGUGUCUUGGCUAAUGUGUCUUGGCUAAGGUGUCUUGGCUAAUGUGUCUCGGCUAAGGUGUCUUGGCUAAGGUGUCUUGGCUAAGGUGUCUUGGCUAAGGUGUCUUGGCUAAGGUGUCUUGGCUAAGGUGUCUUGGCUAAUGUGUCUUGGCUAAGGUGUCUUGGCUAAAGUGUCUUGGCUAAGGUGUCUUGGCUAAUGUGUCUUGGCUAAGGUGUCUUGGCUAAGGUGUCUUGGCUAAGGUGUCUUGGCUAAUGUGUCUUGGCUAAGGUGUAUUGGCUAAGGUGUCUUGGCUAAGGUGUCUUGGCUAAGGUGUCUUGGCUAAGGUGUCUUGGCUAAUGUGUCUCGGCUAAUGUGUCUUGGCUAAGGUGUCUUGGCUAAGGUGUCUUGGCUAAUGUGUCUUGGCUAAUGUGUCUUGGCUAAGGUGUCUUGGCUAAGGUGUCUUGGCUAAUGUGUCUUGGCUAAGGUGUCUUGGCUAAGGUGUCUUGGCUAAGGUGUCUUGGCUAAUGUGUCUUGGCUAAGGUGUCUUGGCUAAUGUGUCUUGGCUAAUGUGUCUUGGCUAAGGUGUCUUGGCUAAGGUGUCUUGGCUAAUGUGUCUUGGCUAAUGUGUCUUGGCUAAGGUGUCUUGGCUAAGGUGUCUUGGCUAAGGUGUCUCGGCUAAUGUGUCUUGGCUAAGGUGUCUUGGCUAAGGUGUCUUGGCUAAUGUGUCUUGGCUAAGGUGUCUUGGCUAAUGUGUCUUGGCUAGGUGUCUUGGCUAAGGUGUCUUGGCUAAUGUGUCUUGGCUAAAGUGUCUUGGCUAAGGUGUCUUGGCUAAGGUGUCUUGGCUAAGGUGUCUUGGCUAAGGUGUCUUGGCUAAUGUGUCUCGGCUAAAGUGUCUUGGCUAAGGUGUCUUGGCUAAGGUGUCUUGGCUAAGGUGUCUUGGCUAAUGUGUCUCGGCUAAGGUGUCUUGGCUAAGGUGUCUUGGCUAAGGUGUCUUGGCUAAUGUGUCUUGGCUAAGGUGUCUUGGCUAAGGUGUCUUGGCUAAAGUGUCUUGGCUAAGGUGUCUUGGCUAAUGUGUCUCGGCUAAUGUGUCUUGGCUAAGGUGUCUUGGCUAAGGUGUCUUGGCUAAGGUGUCUUGGCUAAGGUGUCUUGGCUAAUGUGUCUUGGCUAAGGUGUCUUGGCUAAGGUGUCUUGGCUAAAGUGUCUUGGCUAAGGUGUCUUGGCUAAUGUGUCUCGGCUAAUGUGUCUUGGCUAAGGUGUCUUGGCUAAGGUGUCUCGGCUAAAGUGUCUUGGCUAAGGUGUCUUGGCUAAGGUGUCUUGGCUAAGGUGUCUUGGCUAAUGUGUCUCGGCUAAGGUGUCUUGGCUAAGGUGUCUUGGCUAAGGUGUCUUGGCUAAUGUGUCUUGGCUAAGGUGUCUUGGCUAAGGUGUCUUGGCUAAUGUGUCUCGGCUAAGGUGUCUUGGCUAAUGUGUCUUGGCUAAUGUGUCUUGGCUAUUGUGUCUUGGCUAAGGUGUCUUGGUUAAGGAGUCUUGGCUAAGGUGUCUUGGCUAAGGUGUCUUGGCUAAGGUGUCUUGGCUAAUGUGUCUUGGCUAAUGUGUCUUGGCUAAGGUGUCUUGGCUAAGGUGUCUUGGCUAAUGUGUCUUGGCUAAAGUGUCUUGGCUUAGGUGUCUUGGCUAAGGUGUCUUGGG
Long non-coding RNA from Anopheles funestus (African malaria mosquito), 3549 nucleotides. RefSeq lists it as uncharacterized. The record is from RefSeq and is a predicted model, not a curated record. The transcript has 4 exons. NCBI's taxonomy places the organism in Eukaryota, Metazoa, Arthropoda, Insecta, Diptera, Culicidae.